Sutterella sp. CAG:521 is the source of this 143-nucleotide regulatory RNA element. It matches the Rfam family "FMN riboswitch aptamer (RFN element)". From Rfam's summary of the family: The RFN element is a highly conserved domain that is found frequently in the 5'-untranslated regions of prokaryotic mRNAs that encode for flavin mononucleotide (FMN) biosynthesis and transport proteins. The record is from Rfam. Lineage: Bacteria; Pseudomonadati; Pseudomonadota; Betaproteobacteria; Burkholderiales; Sutterellaceae.
UCCGAGUCUCAGGGCGGGGUGAAAUUCCCCACCGGUGGUUACAGUCCACGAGCGCGGGACGGGUUUAAAACAUCCGUCCCGGUCAGCAGAAUCGGUGCAAUUCCGAUACCGACGGUUAAAGUCCGGAAGAAAGAGCAAUAGCU